RNAcentral lists this ribosomal RNA (273 nucleotides) under uncultured bacterium. RNAcentral describes it as "partial 16S ribosomal RNA". It matches the Rfam family "Bacterial small subunit ribosomal RNA", at positions 524 to 796 of the family's 1533-position model. The record is from RNAcentral.
UACGGAGGGUGCAAGCGUUAUCCGGAUUCACUGGGUUUAAAGGGUGCGUAGGUGGGCAGGUAAGUCAGUGGUGAAAUCUCUGGGCUUAACCCAGAAACUGCCAUUGAUACUAUCUGUCUUGAAUACCGUGGAGGUCAGCGGAAUAUGUCAUGUAGCGGUGAAAUGCUUAGAUAUGACAUAGAACACCAAUUGCGAAGGCAGCUGGCUACACGAAUAUUGACACUGAUGCACGAAAGCGUGGGGAUCAAACAGGAUUAGAAACCCCUGUAGUCC